RNAcentral lists this ribosomal RNA (1351 nucleotides) under uncultured bacterium. Its description in RNAcentral is "16S ribosomal RNA". It matches the Rfam family "Bacterial small subunit ribosomal RNA", at positions 18 to 1391 of the family's 1533-position model. The record is from RNAcentral.
CCUGGCUCAGGCCUUACGCGGGCGGCGCGCCUAACACAUGCAAGUCGAACGACCUAUGAGGAGCUUGCUCUUCAAAUCGAGUGGCGAACGGGUGAGUAACGCGUGAGGAACCUGCCUCAAAGAGGGGGACAACAGUUGGAAACGACUGCUAAUACCGCAUAAGCCCACGGCUCGGCAUCGAGCAGAGGGAAAAGGAGUGAUCCGCUUUGAGAUGGCCUCGCGUCCGAUUAGCUAGUUGGUGAGGUAACGGCCCACCAAGGCGACGAUCGGUAGCCGGACUGAGAGGUUGAACGGCCACAUUGGGACUGAGACACGGCCCAGACUCCUACGGGAGGCAGCAGUGGGGAAUAUUGCACAAUGGGGGAAACCCUGAUGCAGCGACGCCGCGUGGAGGAAGAAGGUCUUCGGAUUGUAAACUCCUGUUGUUGAGGAAGAUAAUGACGGUACUCAACAAGGAAGUGACGGCUAACUACGUGCCAGCAGCCGCGGUAAAACGUAGGUCACAAGCGUUGUCCGGAAUUACUGGGUGUAAAGGGAGCGCAGGCGGGAGAACAAGUUGGAAGUGAAAUCCAUGGGCUCAACCCAUGAACUGCUUUCAAAACUGUUUUUCUUGAGUAGUGCAGAGGUAGGCGGAAUUCCCGGUGUAGCGGUGGAAUGCGUAGAUAUCGGGAGGAACACCAGUGGCGAAGGCGGCCUACUGGGCACCAACUGACGCUGAGGCUCGAAAGUGUGGGUAGCAAACAGGAUUAGAUACCCUGGUAGUCCACACCGUAAACGAUGAUUACUAGGUGUUGGAGGAUUGACCCCUUCAGUGCCGCAGUUAACACAAUAAGUAUCCACCUGGGGAGUACGACCGCAAGGUUGAAACUCAAAGGAAUUGACGGGGGCCCGCACAAGCAGUGGAGUAUGUGGUUUAAUUCGACGCAACGCGAAGAACCUUACCAAGUCUUGACAUCCUGCGACGCACAUAGAAAUAUGUGUUUCCUUCGGGACGCAGAGACAGGUGGUGCAUGGUUGUCGUCAGCUCGUGUCGUGAGAUGUUGGGUUAAGUCCCGCAACGAGCGCAACCCUUAUGGUCAGUUACUACGCAAGAGGACUCUGGCCAGACUGCCGUUGACAAAACGGAGGAAGGUGGGGAUGACGUCAAAUCAUCAUGCCCUUUAUGACUUGGGCUACACACGUACUACAAUGGCGUUAAACAAAGAGAAGCAAGACCGCGAGGUGGAGCAAAACUCAGAAACAACGUCCCAGUUCGGACUGCAGGCUGCAACUCGCCUGCACGAAGUCGGAAUUGCUAGUAAUCGUGGAUCAGCAUGCCACGGUGAAUACGUUCCCGGGCCUUGUACACACC